This 321-nucleotide ribosomal RNA is filed under the name uncultured bacterium. Its description in RNAcentral is "bacterial SSU rRNA". It matches the Rfam family "Bacterial small subunit ribosomal RNA", at positions 456 to 775 of the family's 1533-position model. The record is from RNAcentral.
UAACUGUUCACGUUUCGACGGUAUCUAACCAGAAAGCCACGGCUAACUACGUGCCAGCAGCCGCGGUAAUACGUAGGUGGCAAGCGUUAUCCGGAUUUAUUGGGCGUAAAGGGUGCGUAGACGGGACAGCAAGUUAGUUGUGAAAGCCCUCGGCUUAACUGAGGAACUGCAACUAAAACUAUUGUUCUUGAGUGCAGGAGAGGAAAGCGGAAUUCCUAGUGUAGCGGUGAAAUGCGUAGAUAUUAGGAGGAACACCAGUGGCGAAGGCGGCUUUCUGGACUGUAACUGACGUUGAGGCACGAAAGUGUGGGGAGCAAACAG